RNAcentral lists this ribosomal RNA (305 nucleotides) under uncultured bacterium. RNAcentral describes it as "bacterial SSU rRNA". It matches the Rfam family "Bacterial small subunit ribosomal RNA", at positions 337 to 659 of the family's 1533-position model. The record is from RNAcentral.
ACCUACGGGAGGCAGCAGUGGGGAAUAUUGCACAAUGGGGGAAACCCUGAUGCAGCGACGCCGCGUGAAGGAAGAAGUAUUUCGGUAUGUAAACUUCUAUCAGCAGGGAAGAAAAUGACGGUACCUGACUAAGAAGCCCCGGCUAACUACGUGACAGCAGCCGCGGGAAUACGUAGGGGGCAAGCGUUAUCCGGAUUUACUGGAUGUAAAGGGAGCGUAGGCGGUGCAGCAAGUCAGAAGUGAAAGCCCGGGGCUCAACUCCGGGACUGCUUUUGAAACUGUUGAACUAGAUUGCAGGAGAGGUA